Molecule: long non-coding RNA, 269 nt
Filed under: Salmo salar (Atlantic salmon)
Lineage: Eukaryota; Metazoa; Chordata; Actinopteri; Salmoniformes; Salmonidae
Description: lncRNA (ENSSSAG00000097005.1)
Source: RNAcentral
GUCUUCCUCUGAGGAGCGUCAACUGGCGUGUCGCUUGUCAUUAAAGCAGCAAAAGGCUACAGUCACAGAGCCUCCGUGUGGCAAAAGUUAGGAAAUAUCUAACCAAUACAAGGUGGAAUUAAAAUUACGGAAUAAAAAGUUAAAGGAGAAGGAUAGACUACAACGACCAAGAGCCAACAGCAUGUCGUGGGCGGAGCCGGAAGGGUCGUCAGCGAAAUGGGACACCUGUGCUCGGGUGUGUUCCAGGAUAAAUGCACCUCUUCCCUAUU